This 6851-nucleotide long non-coding RNA is filed under the name Homo sapiens (human). RNAcentral's name for it is "HSALNT0350761". The record is from RNAcentral. Lineage: Eukaryota; Metazoa; Chordata; Mammalia; Primates; Hominidae.
AAAAACAAUAGAAUGUUAUUUCUCACUCACACAAUAGUCCAGUGAGGAUGUCCCUGGUGGGCAAAGACUCUUGUCUACCAAAUGGGAUGGGGACUCAGUUUCCUUCCCUCUUGUGACUCUGGCAUUGCCUAGAGCCACAUGAUUACCUGUACUGAAUCUGUAGAAAGAGAAAUAAGCAGUGUAGAGAUGAUAUGUCUGUUUUCUGAUAUCCUCAGCCUAGAAAAAACACACAUUACUUCUGUUCUUAUUCUCAUACUAGUUUAUCACCCAUUGUCCAAAUGCACCAUGUGGCCACACCUAGAUGCAAGGGUGGGUUGGAAAAUGUAGCACCUGGCUGGGCAGUUGUUCCUCAGCAUUGACUCUGUGCUAUGGAAGGGCUUCCUAAGUUUUUGUGGACUGCUAUCCCAGUCUCUCACCACUAUACAAUCUUCAUAAUUUUCCCUUUAAAUGGCUGAGAGAAAAUUUUGAACAAAAGCUACAAACAUUUUUCAGAUUCUUGAUUCUCCAGACUUAUUACUUGAGGGCAGUGACUAAAUUAUAUUCAGUUCUAUAUCAGAAGGUUCUUCCAUAUUGCCGGUUUCAUGGUAGAUACUCAAUAAAAUGAGUUGAAUGACUACAUAAAUUUUAGCAAGAGCAUAUGGAAAAUAAUUUAUCAUGACUUUGGGUAAUACUAUAGGUGUAAUUAUUGUCCUUUCUCUUUCCUGACUUGAUUAAUAGCACCACUAUCCAUUAAGUUAUUAAAGGUAGAAAGCUGAGAUUAUUCUUGACUCCUUUUCUCACUGGUCCAGUAUUAGUUAUUUAUUGCAGUGUAAGAAAUUACCAUGAAACUUAGUGGCUUAGUUGGGGCUUGAUGGGGGCUGGAGGAUCCACUGCAAGAUGGCUCAGUCACUUGGCUGGCAAGGUGGUGCUGGCUGUUAGCCUCCCAUCUGAUCCUCCUCUUUCCGCUCCUGCCACUCUUCAAGGUAUUUUUUCCAGAGCAGCCAUUCAUCAUUCAUUUAUUUUUUCCCAUUAAUUAAUUCAACAGAUAUUUAUUGUAUACUUACCAUAUGCCAGAUUUGUUCUAGGUUCUUGGAAUAUAGCAGUGAAAAAAAAACAGUCCUUGGAUCUUAUAUACAGUGGGGAAAUAAACAUAUAAUGUAGAAAAUUAGAUGGUAAUAUGUGUGAGCACAUAUAUUUAUUAUUUCUCAUCAUUUCUGAGACAGGAGAUGGGUAUUCUGGCUUGGGGACUCACAUGAGGUCACAGUUACAUGUUGGUGUUGGUUUGGUCAUAUGAAGGCUUGGUGGGGGCUGGAGGAUCCACUGUGAGAUGGCUCAAUCCCUUGGCUGGAAAGUUGGUGCUGGCUGUUGUUGGCAGGCCUUGCUUCCUCUUCACAGGGCUUCUUGAGUGUCUUCAUGACAUGGCGGCUGGCCUAUCCCAAAAUAAGCUGUCCAAGAGAGCAGGGCAGAAGUGUCCAUGCCAUUUAUGGCCUCACCAUGGAAGUCACACACAAUCACUUCUGCAAUAUAUACUGAUUACCCAGAUCUGCAUCGUUCAGUGUGGGAGGGGACCACAAAAAGGCACAAAUGCCAAAAGGCAAGGACCAUUGGGGCCAUUUUGGAGGCUAUUUACCACAGCCCCUCUCUUCCAUAUUCCAGCCCACCUGCAUAUUCUGUUGAUCCUCCUUCCAAAAAUGUAUCUCAAACCAAAUGACUAAUUUUCAUUUCUGUUGGCUCUAGCCUAGUCCAAGACUCUAUCAACACUUGACUUGAAGAGUCUCCCGUCUGAUAUUCCUCUUUCUGCUCUUGCCCCCCUUCAAGGUAUUUCUCCCAGAGAAGCCAUUCAUCAUGCAUUCAUUAUUCUCCAUUCAUUAAUUCAACAAAUAUUUAUUGUACGCUUACCACAUGCCAGAUUUAUUUUAGGUUCUUGGGAUAUAGCAGUGAAAAGUCCUUGGGCUUUACAUACAGUGGGAAAAUAAAUAAUAUGGAAAAUGUUAAAGGCAACAUAUGUGAUCCAGAAAAUUAUAGCACGGUGAAGGAAAUAGGAAACAAUAGAAAAGUUAGGGACUUCUGGCUAUAGUAUUAUAUAGGGCUGUCAAGGGUGCUAUCUCUGAUUAGCUUACAUUGAAACAGAAACCCAAAAGACAGUAGAGGGCAGGUAUGUUAAUAUCUGGGCAAGUAUUCUAAGCAGAGGAAAAAGAAAAUGCAAGGGCCCUGAGGCAGGAUCGUGUUUGGUAUGUUUGAGGAAUAGCUGUUCUGUUCCGUUGUGGCUGGAACAGAAGGAGGAGGGCGGGAGGGGAGGGUGAUGGAGAAUGGUACAUGAUGGAGGUCAGAUUAUGUAGGGCCUUGUAGACUACAAUGAAGACUUUGGCUUUGUUUUGGGUUGGUGGGGGACAAGGAAAGCUAUUGGAAUGUUUUAGUGACUUGAUGUGACUUACUUUUUAAUAGGAACAUUUGGGCUGCUCAGCCCAUGAUGUUUAAAAAUGCCAUCAGGUCACUUCCACUGUUUAAAACCUUUCAAUGGAUUCUGGUUGUACUUAGAAUAAAAUCUAAGCUCCCUUAGCUAUUAUUAUUAUCUCAUUAUUAAAAUUGACAUCCUUUAUUCUCUAUUACAGCAGUCUAAUUCCUUCCUAAUAUGUACCUCACUAGUAACUAUUAUUAUUAUUGCUUAUUUGUUUAUAAUCUGUCUCCUCUACUUGAAAAUAUGUAGCCUGGGGAUCUUGUGGAUUUCCAUACUAAAUCAUCCCAAGGCCACUUUGCUUUUGAGCUCUGUGUGUGUGUGUGUGUGUGUGUUUUGAUCUCUUCUGUAAUUUUUUUUCCCCUGAUCUCGCUGAUUGUUAUAUUUGGUCAGUGACUGACCUCUAGCAAUGAUGGUGCCAGGGCAACUUUGUUGUUGAACUGUAUGUUAAGGUUUGUUUUGGCUUGUUGGUUAUAUCAGUACUUAUCAAAUGAAUUAUCUGGGAAGAGAGGAGAGGAUCUUAUUAAAAUACAGGUUCUUAUUCAGUAGGCCUUGGGUGGGGCUUGAGGUUCUGCAUUUCUUUCUUUCUCUUUCUUUCUUUUUCUUUCUAUUUCUUUCUUUCUCUUUUUUCUUUCUCUUUCUUUCUUUUUCUUUUUUCUUUCUUUCUCUUUCUUUCUUUCUCUCUUUCUUUCUUUCCUUCCUUUCUUUCUUUCUUUCUUUCCUUCCUUCCUUUCUUUCCUUCCUUCCUUCCUUUCCUUCCUUCCUUCCUUCCUUCCUUUCCUUCCUUCCUUCCUUCCUUCAGACAGAGUCUCACUCUGUAGCCCAGGCUGGAGUGCCGUGGUGCCAUCUUAGCUCACUGCAACCUCUGCCUCCCAGGUUCAAGCAAUUCUCCCACCUCAGCCUCCGGAGUAGCUGGGACUACAGGCGUGCACCACCAUGCUCAGCUAAUUUUUGUAUUUUUAGUAGAAAUAGGGUUUCACCACAUUGACCAGGCUGGUCUCGAACUCUGGAGCUCAAGUGAUCUGCCCACCUCAGCCUCCCAAAGUGCUGGGAUUUCAGGUGGAGCCACCAUGCCCAGCUGAGGUUCUGCAUUUCUAUCAAGCUUGCAGGUGAUGCCCAUGCUGCCAGCCCUUUGAGUAACAAGGGGGCUUUAUUACUGAGCUUGGCUGAACAUUGGAAUCAUCUGUGGAGCUUUAAAACUACUAAUGCUGGGCUCUCAACCCCAGAGAUUGCAAUAUCAUCAGUCUAGAAUGCAGUUUGAGUACUAGGAUUUUGAAAAGCUUCAUAAGUGAUUCUAUUUUGUAGAAAUAUUGAGAACUACUAGAUUGGAUGAUAUUGAAUCCAAUUUUAAAACAAGAUGUAGCAAUAAAUGUUCUUCAGCGCUGUGUUGCUGACUUUUUAGAAAGUCAGUUUUGUAGCUCUAGAAAGAAUCUGGCUGCAUCCAUGGAUGACCUCCAGAUCUCUGCUUAGCAUGACUGGGUAAUUUCUCCAAUGUCUCCAGCACAUGCUGUCACUUAACAGCAGAAAGAGAAUUCCUACUUUCAGGAGAAAAGUCAUUCCUGAAGAUUACAGUUAAAAUAUGCCUACAGAUGAUGAGGUUGUAGUAAAUCAGUCCCCUUGCUCUCUGAGCUUGUUCUAAGUUACAGGAAGCAGAAGAAGCAGAGAAGCACUCCAUUUCUUUUUUCUUGUAAUCUCUAGCAUGUUCACAUGCAUAGUUUCUGAGUCAGUAGCAAACUAAGAACUUCUUGUGUGAUUCAAGCUAACUCCUCGAUUAUCAGAAGCAGAUGUUUCAAACGACUGAAGAUCAGUGAGGCAUAUCCUAUUUACAGGUUAAUAAUUGACUGCUAGAUGCAGGUGCACCAAAUGGUCUUAGAGACAUUAGAUAGGAGAGACAAUGUCAGUGCUCCCCCUACCCUGCCUCCCCUAAUCUAAAGCCUACUCUGUUUCUUUUAUCAAGUGAUUGGCUGUAUGUUAACAGAGCCUGGGGCACUUUCCUGUUGAAAUGCCUUUAAUCCCAAGCAACUGGAUUGAUUUUUUUUUUUUUUUGGAUGGUUUAGAUUGGACGACUGAUUAUUGGACAGAAUGGCGUCUUGUCGACACCUGCGGUCUCCUGCAUUAUCAGGAAGAUCAAGGCAGCUGGUGGAAUCAUUCUAACAGCCAGCCACUGCCCUGGAGGACCAGGGGGAGAGUUUGGAGUGAAGUUUAAUGUUGCCAAUGGAGAUGGAGUCUCGCUCUGUCACCCAGGCUGGAGUGCAAUGGCAUAAUCUUGUCUCACUGCAACCUCUGCCUCCCACGUUCAAGCCAUUCUCCUGCCUCAGUCUCACGAGUAGCUGGGAUGACAGGCACCCGCCACCACGCCCAGCUAAUUUUUUGUAUUUUUAGGAGAGAUGGGGUUUCACUAUGUUGUCCAGGCUGGUCUCGAACUCCUGACCUCAUGAUCCGCCCACCUCAGCCUCUCAAAGUGCUGGGAUUACAUGCGUGAGCCAUCGCACCCAGCCUUAAAUUUGUUUUUUAACUUAGCAUGACAUUAAAUAGCAAAUAAAAAUACCAUGACAAGUCAAGUGAGAGAGAACACAGAAGAAAGGAAAACACCGUAUAUUUGAGCACCUUCAAUGACGCUUUUUCCUGCUCUUUGAACAGAAGCACUGCGUUUUCAUUUUGCCCUGGGCCUCAUGUUACGUAGCCGGUCCUGGUGUUAGGUACCCGGACGCACCACAAACGAAACAGAUUCGUUCCCCACAGAGCUUAUUAGUCUAGUGAGAGAAACAUACUUUGAAUAGUCCCAGAAAUACAUCAUUAUAAGAUAAGUCUAUGAAAGAAGCGUAGAGCAUUCCUAAUCUUGUCUCUGAACAGGGCAGACUUCUUGGAGGAAGUGAAAUUUGAACUGCGAUGUGAAGAAUGAGCAGGAGUUAGUGAGGUGAAGAUGAGAGAAGGAGUGUUGCAAACACAGGUCAGUCUGUGCAAAGGCCCUGAGACACAAGGAGCCUAGAACCACGGCUCGAAGACAACCGUCUGGCUGGGGCAUGGCUCGUCUUACAGAUCACAUUAAGGAACAAAUAAUUAUGUUAAGAGUUAUGGGCUGCCAUUAAGGAUUUGGAUAAGAGAGUCUUACAAUCACAUCUGUGUUUUCUAAAGGCCUGACACUGAUUGGUACAUGGAGUACAGCCUGAAGGGAACAAGACUUGUUAGAAAGGAAGCUAUUGGCUGGGUGUGGUGGCUUGUGCCUAUAAUCCCAGCACUUUGGGAAGCUGAGGUGGGCAGAUUACUUGAGGCCAGGGAGUUUGAGAUCAGCCUGGCCAACACGGUGAAACCCCGUCUCUACUAAAAAUACAAAAAUUAGCGGGUUGUGGUGGUGAGCACCUAUAAUCCCAGCUGCUUGGGAGGCUGAGGCAGGACAAUUGCUUGAACCUGGGAGGCUGAGGUUGCAGUGAGCCCAGACUGCACCACUGCACUCCAGCCUGGGUGACAGAGACUUCCUUUCCAAAAUAAAAUAAAAAAAAAAAGAAAGAAAGAAGAAAGAAAGAAAGGAGGCUAUUGCAGUAAUGCAAGUGAGAGACCAUGGUGGCUUAGGCAAUGGUGGAGAUGGAGGAAUUUGGGGGAAUUGAUUGGGUUCAAGAAAUAGGCAGGAGGAAACACGAUGGAUUGGGUGGGAGUAGGGAAACAGAUGAGAAGAGGUAUCAGGAAUGCUGCCUAGGUUUCUGGUCUGUGCCACUGUGUGGAUGAUGAGGUCAUCUACUAGAGGAUGUGUCAGUGGUGGAGGCCAAGGUCUGAAAGUGGAGGGGGGAAGAGUGAGAGAGAAAAUUGUAAGUUUACCUUUAUGUUCAGCUGAGGUCCUUUCGAAACAUACAAGCAGCAGUAUGAAUAAUUCCAUUGAUAUAUUUGUCCGGGGCCCAGAGUGAGGUUUAAAUAAGAAGAAAUAAACUCUCUAGUAAAAAUUGCAGACACACAAAAGGCUUGAACAGGCACUUCACAAAAUAGAUUAUCCAAAUGACCAAUAAAUACAUAAGUACUCAACAUCAUUAGCCAUUAGAAAAAUGCAAGUUAAAACCACAAUGAGAUACCAUUUCACACUAGAAUGAAUAAAAUUUUAAAAGACUGACAAUGCUAAAUGUUCCCAGGAUGCAGAACAACCAAAACCCUCAUAUAUUAUGGGGGACAUGGAAAAUUGUACAACUCCUUUGGAAAACAAGUAGUUUCUACAGAAUUUCAAUAUAUACAUACCAUACAACUCAGCCAUUGCAUUCCUAUUUACCCAACAGAAAUAAAAUCAUUUGUCUACUGAAAAAUUUGCAAAAUAAUGUUCAUUGCGGCUGUAGCCAUUAUAACCCUCAAACGGAAACAACCCAAUGUGCAUGGAUUGUGAAUAGAUGACAAAUGGUGGUCCAUCUAUACAAUGGAAUAUUGCUCUUCAACAGAA